CCUACGGGAGGCAGCAGUGGGGAAUAUUGCACAAUGGGCGCAAGCCUGAUGCAGCGACGCCGCGUGAGGGAUGACGGCCUUCGGGUUGUAAACCUCUUUCAGUAGGGAAGAAGCGUAAGUGACGGUACCUGCAGAAGAAGCGCCGGCUAACUACGUGCCAGCAGCCGCGGUAAUACGUAGGGCGCAAGCGUUAUCCGGAAUUAUUGGGCGUAAAGAGCUCGUAGGCGGUUUGUCGCGUCUGCUGUGAAAGACCGGGGCUCAACUCCGGUUCUGCAGUGGGUACGGGCAGACUAGAGUGCAGUAGGGGAGACUGGAAUUCCUGGUGUAGCGGUGAAAUGCGCAGAUAUCAGGAGGAACACCGAUGGCGAAGGCAGGUCUCUGGGCUGUAACUGACGCUGAGGAGCGAAAGCAUGGGGAGCGAACAGGAUUAGAUACCCUGGUAGUCCAUGCCGUAAACGUUGGGCACUAGGUGUGGGGGACAUUCCACGUUUUCCGCGCCGUAGCUAACGCAUUAGUGCCCGCCUGGGGAGACGGCGCGAAGACGUAACGUUACGAAGAGUUAGAGCGNGNGAGNGCGACGGCGACGACGAGGAGAGG
This 597-nucleotide ribosomal RNA is filed under the name uncultured bacterium. RNAcentral describes it as "bacterial SSU rRNA". The stretch from base 1 to 523 matches the Rfam family "Bacterial small subunit ribosomal RNA", at positions 338 to 873 of the family's 1533-position model. The record is from RNAcentral.